CCCAGCACCGAAGCCUGUGGCCGUUUGGCCCCUAGGCAAUGUGGUGUUCAGGUUGGCUCGCGGGGAUACUGCUCCAUCCUAAGUCCUAAAAUGAGUAAGGUUACUCGGACAUGGCCCAAUGAGGGUGAAAGGCCCGUGGGGGUGGAGAGUCAGACUGGCCAGUAUCUCCCUGAGCAGACCUUGGAGUCGGGUUGUUUGUGAAUGCAGCCCAAAGUGGGUGGUAAACUCCAUCCAAGGCUAAAUACUAGCACGAGUCCGAUAGCGAACAAGUACCGUGAGGGAAAGUUGAAAAGUACUUUGAAGAGAGAGUAAACAGUGCGUGAAACCGUUCAGAGGUAAACGGGUGGAGUUGAACUGCAAGCUCUGAGGAUUCAGCUGGUGAGAUUGGCGUGAUCUUGGUCACGUGGGUUGUAUUGCCGUGUCUGCUUAGCUGCAGGUCUUCGCUUCGGUGGGGAUGCGCGCCUAGCUUAUCAAGCUUGUGCGCACGGGAAUCUUUCAAACUCGCUUGCCAGUGCACUUUCUCGGAGUGUUCACCACGACCGGCGUUGUCGUCUGGCUGGUGCGGUUAAACCGGUCUUGUAGGGUCCUCGUGGCCUUGCUUGGUCGGGAUGGCAGGUAGCCCGUUGUGUAUUUAUAUGCUUCGGGUGUAAUAGCCGACUGCAUCGGUUCUGUGCGGUACGUCGGAGGCGGCGGCUUGUUGUGUAUGCAGGCGUGCUUGUGCGCUGGCGGCUCUGGGUCUGGUUGCCUUGUUGCUUGUGAAUGCAGGCCAGGUGAUGGCUCGGGGUCGUUCGGUGCGCGGUGGCGUUUGUUGCACUUUGAAGGGCCAAUAGUCUGUGGUGUAGUGGUAGACUAUCCACCCGACCCGUCUUGAAACACGGACCAAGGAGAGUAACAUGUGCGCGAGUCAUUGGGCGUUACGAAAUCCAAAGGCGAAGUGAAAGUAAAGGUUCGGCUUGUCCGAGCUGAGGUGAGAUCUUGUCGUUUCUCACGCAUGGUACUACCAAGCAUCGAGCGGCAGGCGCAUCACCGGCCCGUCUCAUGGCGUAGUGGCGGCUUCGUGCUUGCUCAUCGUCGGGGCGGAGCAUGAGCGUACACGUUGAGACCCGAAAGAUGGUGAACUAUGCUUGCGCAGGUUGAAGCCAGAGGAAACUCUGGUGGAGGACCGCAGCGAUUCUGACGUGCAAAUCGAUCGUCAAACGUGAGUAUAUGGGCGAAAGACUAAU
Molecule: ribosomal RNA, 1223 nt
Filed under: Petasiger sp. 6 ML-2019
Lineage: Eukaryota; Metazoa; Platyhelminthes; Trematoda; Plagiorchiida; Echinostomatidae
Description: partial large subunit ribosomal RNA
Rfam family: Eukaryotic large subunit ribosomal RNA
Source: RNAcentral